AAUCCAUAGGUUAAUGAGGCGAACCGGGGGAACUGAAACAUCUAAGUACCCCGAGGAAAAGAAAUCAACCGAGAUUCCCCCAGUAGCGGCGAGCGAACGGGGAGGAGCCCAGAGCCUGAAUCAGCAUGUGUGUUAGUGGAAGCGUCUGGAAAGGCGCGCGAUACAGGGUGACAGCCCCGUACACAAAAGCGCAUGUGCUGUGAGCUCGAUGAGUAGGGCGGGACACGUGGUAUCCUGUCUGAAUAUGGGGGGACCAUCCUCCAAGGCUAAAUACUCCUGACUGACCGAUAGUGAACCAGUACCGUGAGGGAAAGGCGAAAAGAACCCCGGCGAGGGGAGUGAAAAAGAACCUGAAACCGUGUACGUACAAGCAGUGGGAGCACAGGUUUACCUGUGUGACUGCGUACCUUUUGUAUAAUGGGUCAGCGACUUAUAUUCUGUAGCAAGGUUAACCGUAUAGGGGAGCCGUAGGGAAACCGAGUCUUAACCGGGCGUUAAGUUGCAGGGUAUAGACCCGAAACCCGGUGAUCUAGCCAUGGGCAGGUUGAAGGUUGGGUAACACUAACUGGAGGACCGAACCGACUAAUGUUGAAAAAUUAGCGGAUGACCUGUGGCUGGGGGUGAAAGGCCAAUCAAACCGGGAGAUAGCUGGUUCUCCCCGAAAGCUAUUUAGGUAGCGCC
RNAcentral lists this ribosomal RNA (681 nucleotides) under Salmonella enterica subsp. enterica serovar Muenchen. Its description in RNAcentral is "partial 23S ribosomal RNA". It matches the Rfam family "Bacterial large subunit ribosomal RNA", at positions 161 to 881 of the family's 2925-position model. The record is from RNAcentral. Lineage: Bacteria; Pseudomonadati; Pseudomonadota; Gammaproteobacteria; Enterobacterales; Enterobacteriaceae. RNAcentral also lists the same sequence under 1 other name.